GGAGUUUGGUCCGUGUCUCAGUACCAAUGUGGGGGACCUUCCUCUCAGAACCCCUACUGAUCGUAGCCUUGGUGGGCCGUUACCCCGCCAACUGGCUAAUCAGACGCGGGUCCAUCUCACACCACCGGAGUUUUUCACACCAUACCAUGCGGUAUUGUGCGCUUAUGCGGUAUUAUCAGUCGUUUCCAACUGCUAUCCCCCAGUGUGAGGCAGGUUACCCACGCGUUACUCACCCGUCCGCCACUAAGUAUUUCAAAUGAUUCUUUGGAAGCAAGCUUCCUCGGUCUCGGGAGAAAUACUCCGUUCGACUUGCAUGUGUUAAGCACGCCGCCAGCGUUUAUC
RNAcentral lists this ribosomal RNA (342 nucleotides) under uncultured Coprococcus sp. RNAcentral describes it as "partial 16S ribosomal RNA". The record is from RNAcentral. Lineage: Bacteria; Bacillati; Bacillota; Clostridia; Lachnospirales; Lachnospiraceae.